UUUGCAGUGUUUCAGUGAACACACCAGGUCUGUCAACAGUAGAAACGUACCGUUUUUGUGCGCUGUAAGUUGCCAACGUAUUUACAUUACAAUAGCCGUCACGGAGUGGUGUACCGGGUUCUGCCAGGCGAUGGCAUCAGCUGUACAACUUUGCGUUGCAAUUGGAGUGUUGCAGACGGAAAACAGAUGGCAGAGCAGUAGCAACCAGACCGGUGCACAGUCCCAGGAAUGAAGAUGGGUGGGGGAAAAUGAAGAAACUGCAAAGGCAACAUUAUACACAGUGCAGCCCCGAGCUUGCUGCAGUGCCUGCCUGUGUGGAAGCAGCCACUCAAGCACACUGGAGCAGCUGGGGCAUGUGGCAGCAUUCCUUCCUACUGCGUGUCCUGUGGGUGCACAUUGGUUUGUGUCAGAAAAGGAGCAGAGGAGGUGGUACACUAGCUUGCCCAUUUCAUAUCUUAAUCAGCAGGUAUUUUUCCUUUGCUUUUUCCUGGGCUAAGGCAUGCUGUUAGUGACAAGAGUGAAUGCUGGGAGGGGUGAGACUUUUAGACCUUCAGACUUGUCAGCACUGAUCUUAAUAUACAAAAGGUGAAAAUGUUGGGGGGGGUGGUUUAAUAAAAACAGGCAAAAAACUCGAGAGGUAUUUUAAUUGUAAGCCGUCUCUUGGUUUUGUUUUGAUUGUUUUGAUUUCAUUGGUUUUCUUGUUUGUUUUGAAUUUAGGAGGGGAGUUAAUUUGCUUCCAGAUCUCAUACAGCGCCUUUUGAAAUUGCUUCCCUUUGUUCUCUCCACUUUUCUUCCUCCAAUAGUCACACUGUUGUAAAAGAUUUUGAUCAGAAAAUAUACCAGCAGGGAUUGGAACCACAUUGUUCUGUUGCUUUGGAAACAACUAAGAAGAGAAGUUUUCAUGAAAAUCCUGCAGACAAAGGUUCUCAGCCCAUACACUGAGCUUAAUUUCAGGGAGUUGUACAUUCUUGGGCAAGCUUAUUGCUUUUCCUCUUAGCCUGAGGGGAGACGGCCAUUGGGUGCUGAAAUUCAGUGCAGUUUGAUAGGGCUGUGUUGGCAGGGGUUGCGUCUGCAGCAGUCUGCUGUAACAGAGGAGGGCUUAUUGUGUGUAGCUGGAGCAGGCAGAGUUUGUGUAGCAACGGCUCUCCAGCCAAUCGUCGGAGGAGUUAGAUAAAGUGGAAGUGUUUGUAGCACUUCCUCUGCUUUUCUUUUUAAUUAGGCCAUAUUCUUUCCUGAACCCCCUCCUCCACUGCAAGCAUCAGACAGCAUCCUGAAGCUUUCACUCUGUUCUGUGCAGUAGAAUUUGGAUAUUGGAAAGAACUGCAAUUUGAACCUAGCUGGUUUUGUCUAAUCUUUUUGUUUUGAGCCAUGUUUGCCAGGAGAAGGUUCUGUAUUUUGUUUUCCUCUGCCUUUCUUGGAGAGUCCCUCGCAGUGCUGGCUGUGCUGUUCAUCUAAGUAAGAUGUCUGAAUUUGUGUGUAGGCAUUUUACUAAGAGGACUUAGUAGGAAAAAAAAAAUAUCUCAUUGGCCUUUAGUUCAGUUUCUCAAUGUGUGUUUUGAUUAACUAGACUACAGCAGAGGGAGUUCUGGAAGCUGCUGCAUACAGCAUUACGUGGCUCACCAUAUCAGAGAGGGCUGACUCAUAAACGGUUCGCUCUGCUAUUAGCGAGUUUCCUUUAAUGAGGCGGAGGGGGUUGGAUAGUGCAUGCAGAUGAUGCUGGCAAGUAGCCUUGUGCUGGGAGGAGAUGGGAGAGGUUAAGAAUUAAUGCAUGUCAGAAAAGCUAGUACUGGGGAACUGAACUCUCUUUCCACCUUACAGCUAUUUGAGACAGCUGGAUGCAUUGGAUAAUAGGAAGACAGAAGAAAAUGAUCCCUGAAGCGCCUCAGUCCACUGAGGAACUCUUUUGGAACAGAGGAAAAUCAGUCUUUUACUUAAAUAAGCUGAGUUUUCUUCUGCUGAGGAACAUCUGCAGCCCAAUAUCAGGGCUGUUUGGUGAAGCUGUAUCAUGUUGGUGGUGAGCAGUGUCCUUGCUUUGGUUCAAAAAAAUAAAAAGAAAAGGUCCAACCUGAAGUAACAGCAGCUGAGUUUCAGGGAAGAUACACAUUGCAUCUCCUGUUGUUACACACAGAGGCCUUGUGUUCUGCAGAAUAACAUGUCCUGCUGUUUUUGACAAGUUGUUGAAUUUGGUUUUAUGGUCUUUCAUAUCCUGCAGCCCUGUUAGCAUUUCUUUUUAGAAUUCUGUAUGACCCAAAGCCAAAGGAAUGACAGCCUGUUGCUCAGCUGGCAGAAGUGGCCGAGGGCACUGAUCACACAACAAAGUCUGUAAUGUUUUGGAAACAAGCAGUCCUCUUUUAAAAGACCAGUUUUAGUGAAAGUGUUUCCAGUGCUUAUCAGGAAGAAGAUAGGAUGUUUAUUUUCUGGUAAAAAAAGUUGUGCAAACACUGAACUCCAUAUAUACCAAACCUUAAAAUAUCAUUUUCAUUGGUAGAAUACUUGUGCAUUUUCACCCACACAUCGAUGCAGGUUGUUUGUGGAAGGCUGCAGUUUUAUUGGUGUUGCACUUCUCCUACAAACAAGUUGGAAGUAGGCUACAAGCUGAGUGUUUAUUGAAUGACACUUGUAGAGAGUGCUCUGUGUUCUCCUCCUGUGGAAAUAAACAUCAGGGUCCGUUUUAAGAGGCCAUUAAUUGGGGAAAUGAAACCGUAUGUGACACAAAUGCUACAUGUGUACAAGGCCACAGAACAGAGCUAAACAGAGCUGAUCCAUGUGUGGGUGCUGUGAACCAGUCACCAUUCUAUUAAUUAAAAGCGACAUUGUUAUGAAAUAGUCGUUACUUUGGAUGCCAAGGCAUGACCCCUGUACACAGUGAAAUUAGCUAAAUUUGCUAUGGUGUGUUUUGAAUAAAGCACUGUGAAACUGGCCUCUAAAAAUAGCUUUUAUCCUGGCAUCAAGAAAGCAAGCUGUAGUACUGCAGCACUCUUUAAGUGUCGCAUUUUCCUUUUUGGUCGACAUGAUAGAUGUGUUUCAGUGACUUCUGUACAUAUUGCUAAGAUAUGUGCAUGACUGCAAGGGAGACAUCUUGUUUUAGGAAGUUCAGUAGACAGCUGGAUGUUCAGGAAAUAUCACUGACCAGUAAAGCACUGCUACCUGUGUUCUUGGUAAGAGAAAGAGUUCUGUUCAAGAAACUCGAAACUGAUGUAUUUGGGAAGGUAGGAGUGGGAGAGAAAAAGGAGACUGACUAUUGCUUUCAUUACUGAAUACAAGUAACUAUUUUGCAGACAGCCUUAGUUCAUGAGCUGCAUGGAAUUGGGAUGCUCUCACUGUCGAGUUUCAACUUGCAGAUGUUCUGAGGAGAUGCUAGACAGCCCUGUUUUACCCUACAGAAAACUUUUGUUGAGUUUAGGUGCAUUUGCUGUUUUGACUGCAUUUGUUCAUGAUUGAGAGGUCACUGUCUGAAUAGAAGAGGAGGAGAAUGGAGUGAGAAGCCUCUUUUCCUGGUAUCUUAUUCCUUAUGCUACUCCUCUCAAUGCAGAAAGAAGUCUCUGUCUCUGCUGUUUUUCCAGUUGCCUUUUAUCUGACUAGAAAACAACACUGAGUUUGGUUCCUAUAUUUCACUGACUUCUCCACGCAUGUAACUUAAAAAAGAAUAGAUCUGUCUAUCAAGUUUUGCAGGUUGGUGGAGUAAGUUGUUUGAUGCCUAGGCAGGAGUUACAGAUGAAAGAAGCACAGGAACCCAUGAUGAUUCUUUCCACCAUCAGAAGACCAGGAAGGUCAGGAUAUAUUCCUCAUAUCCUCUGGACUGCCAGCAUGAAAUAAUUCUAGCCUGUAAACAGCAACAUCUCAGAUGUGUUGGUGAAAUGGCAUUGGCUGAAGUAGUCUUACUGGCAUCGUAAGAAUACAAACCACUAUUCUCACAGAGGUACAGAAUAAUAGCACAAAAAGUGUGGAAGCUGGUAAGUCAAACCAGUGCACAGUAAGUUUCGUGUGAACUUUGGUAGCUCAAGAUUUCAAUGUGUUUAUUUCUGUUAACUUCUCUUUCUCUUCCAUGCUUUACAGUUCAGCAAGUGCUAUAUUAUUUUGAAUUAUUUCAUUCCUGCCUCUAAUCUGUAUUUGAAUCACUGUCAUGAAUUUUCACUGCUCAGUUUUUACCUCAAUUGAAGGAUGUGAAUUCUACCAACCACAGAGCCAAGUCGUCUUCCUACAGGAUUCUCCCUUUGAAGGAGCCACUGGUGAUGCAGUACCUGCUUUGCAUCAGCACAUCUCAAAUAAGAUUGCCCAUACCAGACAUCCAUUAUGGUCCAAGACAAUUCCUCUUCACUCAGUGCAGCCCAGGCAAGCCCAGAAGUUGGACACCUGCAGCAUGGCAAGUAAUGAGCAGGCCAGCAGGUGGAUAACUCACAUUGAUGCAGUGUGUGCCACAUGUGCAUUGCACCAAGAGGAAAGCGAUCGAGUCUCUAUCUUCCCAAACUUAGUGACUGUAGCUGUGGAUCUGAAUGACAAGGGUUAUGGAUAAAAAGGGGCACUGUUGUUUGUGGGAGCGACGUGAACUCGCAGACUGAACUCAGCGAUUUUAAUCGUCACAGUAAACAUCUCUGUGCUCUACUUAAUUUAUAUGUCAUUAGAUGGUGACAUUUUCAGUUGCUUUAGUGUCAGCUAUAGGUGCAUGUCACCUUCCUUUUUUGAAAAGAGGCACUAAUUAGAUUGAUCUAUUAUCUGUGAACAAAAUAGCAUGAAUACUAACAUUAUAACAGUAUACAGAUUUCAGAAAGGAUCGCACCUGUUUGUGUGUACUUGUAAAGCUUCACUCUGUAAAUACUACAAGAUACAGAAUAAUAACAUUUGUUCAAAUGUUUUGAAAUACAUUAUUGAUUUUUUUUUUUCUUUCCU
Lagopus leucura (white-tailed ptarmigan) is the source of this 4887-nucleotide long non-coding RNA. RefSeq lists it as uncharacterized. Lineage: Eukaryota; Metazoa; Chordata; Aves; Galliformes; Phasianidae. The record is from RefSeq and is a predicted model, not a curated record. The transcript is spliced from 5 exons.